This 833-nucleotide ribosomal RNA is filed under the name uncultured bacterium. Its description in RNAcentral is "bacterial SSU rRNA". It matches the Rfam family "Bacterial small subunit ribosomal RNA", at positions 59 to 900 of the family's 1533-position model. The record is from RNAcentral.
AAGUCGAGCGGAGACAGUGAGUAGCUUGCUAUGAGCUGUUUUAGCGGCGGACGGGUGAGUAACGCGUGAGCAACCUUUCCCAGACAGGGGAAUAACACACCGAAAGGUGUACUAAUACCGCAUAAGACCACGGGAUCACAUGGUUCUGAGGUAAAAGAUUUAUCGGUUUGGGGUGGGCUCGCGUCCGAUUAGGUAGUUGGUGAGGUAACGGCCCACCAAGCCGACGAUCGGUAGCCGACCUGAGAGGGUGAUCGGCCACAUUGGGACUGAGACACGGCCCAAACUCCUACGGGAGGCAGCAGUGGGGAAUAUUGGGCAAUGGAGGAAACUCUGACCCAGCAACGCCGCGUGGAGGAAGAAGGUUUUCGGAUCGUAAACUCCUGUCCUUGGAGACGAGUAGAAGACGGUAUCCAAGGAGGAAGCCCCGGCUAACUACGUGCCAGCAGCCGCGGUAAUACGUAGGGGGCAAGCGUUGUCCGGAAUAAUUGGGCGUAAAGGGCGCGUAGGCGGCUCGGUAAGUCUGGAGUGAAAGUCCUGCUUUUAAGGUGGGAAUUGCUUUGGAUACUGUCGGGCUUGAGUGCAGGAGAGGUUAGUGGAAUUCCCAGUGUAGCGGUGAAAUGCGUAGAGAUUGGGAGGAACACCAGUGGCGAAGGCGACUAACUGGACUGUAACUGACGCUGAGGCGCGAAAGUGUGGGGAGCAAACAGGAUUAGAUACCCUGGUAGUCCACACUGUAAACGAUGAAUGCUAGGUGUAGGGGGUACCGACCCCUUCUGUGCCGCAGUCAACACAAUAAGCAUUCCGCCUGGGGAGUACGGCCGCAAGGUUGAAAC